CGGGGAUGUAGCUCAGAUGGU
This 21-nucleotide non-coding RNA is filed under the name Arabidopsis thaliana (thale cress). Lineage: Eukaryota; Viridiplantae; Streptophyta; Magnoliopsida; Brassicales; Brassicaceae. The record is from RNAcentral.